This 1925-nucleotide long non-coding RNA is filed under the name Paramuricea clavata. Lineage: Eukaryota; Metazoa; Cnidaria; Anthozoa; Malacalcyonacea; Plexauridae. The record is from RNAcentral.
CAAAGUUUAAGCCAAGAAAGGCCAAGGGCAAUUUCGGAAAAUGUAAAGCGGCAGCAAGUCUAUGAAAGUAGUCUAUCCUUUGACGUUUCCAUGCAGUGCUAAUGAAAAAUUGAGGAACUGAAAUCGCUUCAAAGAAACCUUGCUGAUAAAUGUCCGAGACGUUGCAACACAACCUUGGGUAUACAUUUCAACAAUGGCCGAAGGAAUUGUUUACUGACCCAUAACUAUGGCGUUCCUGAAAAGCACGAUGAAAUUACAGACCGCAACAAAUUUUUGAAUAUAUUCAACAAUAAAUUGCAAAUAAACGUCAAACCUGAAAACCUAUGGAUAGAUCUCACCGGUUAGGGAGAAAUCGACAAGUUAGUUCACGACCAAGACCAAUAAAAUAGUCACGUUCGUGUUUUGUUGUAAGAAGAAGCGGUCUAAUGGCGGCCGCCAAAAUUCGAACUUCAUCGUCGUAUAGGCCAAAUAUGAGAUAUCACACUAAAAUUUUGCGAGACAGCUUCUUUAUACACACUCUUUCAAUCAUGGUGAAAAACAGAAAUGAAAAUUUGGUCACAGUCGUACGAAGUUAGAUCCACAAAAGAUUGUACUGUACAGUUAAGUACCAAACGAAAGCUUGGAAGAGUAUCAUCCUUAAUUAACGCGAGGCUUCAAAAUCGGGCUUUAAAAGAGUCCCAAAAUUUAUCUAUACUUAGGAGUGAAAAUCGUAAUUAGAAAGAACAUAUUGAUGCAAUGUGUAUCAAGGUAAGUAAACAAAUGCCUUAGUUUGUUGGCAUUCAAAUGUUAUUUUACUGUUCGAUCCUGUCGACUCGUCACGCUCAUACAGAUACUGUGUGGGGUGAACUAUCAGCCAUGUGUAAUGACAAUUUACAACGAUUGGCAAAAUCGAGCUGCUCGUAUAACGCCGGAGACGAAACAGUUCAAAUGAGGCUAUGAAAAUCUUAGGAUGGUCAGACUUAAAAACAAAACAGGAAGGAAUAAAUUAUGUUAGUCUUCAAGUGUCUGCAUGAUCUUGUCAUUCUUGUGCCAAAAUAUCUUACUGAAUAUUUUAUUAGAAAUACUAGUAACAUUCAUCUAUAUAAUACUACACACCAAUCUCGCAGUAUUGCCAUUCGCAUGCAGGCAUACUCUGGCAUACUCUGCUACGAGCUAGAUUUGAAUUUGAAUUUGAAAUUUAAUGAACCCUCUCCAAUCAGGGGUUUUUUAGUGAUCAUACAUAAAAUAUAUCUAAAUAUAUGUACAAAGAACUAAUUUAUGAACUACUAUAAGCUAUAAAGGAAUAUCCUAUGUAUGCUAUGCGUAUCCAAAAUAUCAUGAUUCUAGAAUUUGUCCUAAAAGUUUCUUCUUAUAGAUCUCUCUUAAAAGCUGGAAUGUCAUUACAUAAUUUAAAAUUACUAUCUAGUGAAUUUCAUAUGGAAAUUAUUCUGUAUGAAAAAGAUUUCUGUCCAGUCGCAGUUCUAAAACGAGGAAUGUUUAAUUGCUGGGAGUUGCGGGUCACACGGCCAGAGAUUUCCUGUCUGGUAUUUAACUGUGUUGUCAAGUAGCCAGGUGCGCGGUCAGUCAUACAUUUGAAUGCAUAAAUUGCAUCCCUCAGGUAUAGUUGUGUUUUGACGGGAAGCCACCUUAAGGUUUUCAAUACAGGUGUUAUAUGAUCAAACUUCCUGGUACCACUGAUGAUGUGGGCUGCAAAAUAUUGUACAUGCUGUAACCGGGCUAUAUUUCCUACAGAGGUAGUUGACCAAACAGAGGAGCAGUAGAAUAGCUUGCUAAAAACACGCAUAUGAAUAAUGGUGGUUAAAAGGGUGGAGUUGGAGGCAUGUUUUACUUGGUUGAUCUGACCCAUUAUACAUAUGAUGUUAUAUGUGUAUCAAAGAUAAGAUAGGGCCAAAUUUUACGCCAAGAUAUUUAAUUGUUUGACAUGG